UCCAGCAAUGCCGCGUGUGUGAAGAAGGCCUCUCGGGUUGUAAAGCACUUUUGUCCGGAAAGAAAUCCUUGGCUCUAAUACAGCCGGGGGAUGACGGUACCGGAAGAAUAAGCACCGGCUAACUACGUGCCAGCAGCCGCGGUAAUACGUAGGGUGCGAGCGUUAAUCGGAAUUACUGGGCGUAAAGCGUGCGCAGGCGGUUUGCUAAGACCGAUGUGAAAUCCCCGGGCUCAACCUGGGAACUGCAUUGGUGACUGGCAGGCUAGAGUAUGGCAGAGGGGGGUAGAAUUCCACGUGUAGCAGUGAAAUGCGUAGAGAUGUGGAGGAAUACCGAUGGCGAAGGCAGCCCCCUGGGCCAAUACUGACGCUCAUGCACGAAAGCGUGGGGAGCAAACAGGAUUAGAUACCCUGGUAGUCCACGCCCUAAACGAUGUCAACUAGUUGUUGGGGAUUCAUUUCCUUAGUAACGUAGCUAACGCGUGAAGUUGACCGCCUGGGGAGUACGGUCGCAAGAUUAAAACUCAAAGGAAUUGACGGGGACCCGCACAAGCGGUGGAUGAUGUGGAUUAAUUCGAUGCAACGCGAAAAACCUUACCUACCCUUGACAUGGUCGGAAUCCUGCUG
RNAcentral lists this ribosomal RNA (624 nucleotides) under Burkholderia sp. IBa247. RNAcentral's name for it is "bacterial SSU rRNA". It matches the Rfam family "Bacterial small subunit ribosomal RNA", at positions 387 to 1003 of the family's 1533-position model. The record is from RNAcentral. Lineage: Bacteria; Pseudomonadati; Pseudomonadota; Betaproteobacteria; Burkholderiales; Burkholderiaceae.